UACGUAGGGUGCAAGCGUUAAUCGGAAUUACUGGGCGUAAAGCGUGCGCAGGCGGCUAUGCAAGACAGAUGUGAAAUCCCCGGGCUCAACCUGGGAACUGCAUUUGUGACUGCAUAGCGUAGAGUACGGUAGAGGGGGAUGGAAAUUCCGCGUGUAGCAGUGAAAUGCGUAGAUAUGCGGAGGAACACCGAUGGCGAAGGCAAUCCCCUGGACCUGUACU
Molecule: ribosomal RNA, 220 nt
Filed under: uncultured bacterium
Lineage: Bacteria
Description: partial 16S ribosomal RNA
Rfam family: Bacterial small subunit ribosomal RNA
Source: RNAcentral